UACGUAGGGCGCAAGCGUUGUCCGGAAUUAUUGGGCGUAAAGAGCUCGUAGGCGGUUUGUCACGUCGGCUGUGAAACCCUGGGGCUCAACCCCGGGCCUGCAGCCGAUACGGGCUGACUAGAAUUCGGUAGGGGAGUCUGGAAUUCCUGGUGUAGCGGUGAAAUGCGCAGAUAUCAGGAGGAACACCGGUGGCGAAGGCGGGACUCUGGGCCGAUAUUGACGCUGAGGAGCGAAAGCGUGGGGAGCGAACAGG
This 253-nucleotide ribosomal RNA is filed under the name uncultured bacterium. Its description in RNAcentral is "partial 16S ribosomal RNA". It matches the Rfam family "Bacterial small subunit ribosomal RNA", at positions 524 to 776 of the family's 1533-position model. The record is from RNAcentral.